GCUUAGCCCUGAUUGAAGUGACAUCCUUUUUGUUUUUUCUACAAAAAGAUAUAACGGAAAGCAGGAAAUAGC
RNAcentral lists this small RNA (72 nucleotides) under Polaribacter sp. KT 15. RNAcentral describes it as "Flavo-1 RNA". It matches the Rfam family "Flavo-1 RNA". The record is from RNAcentral. Lineage: Bacteria; Pseudomonadati; Bacteroidota; Flavobacteriia; Flavobacteriales; Flavobacteriaceae.